RNAcentral lists this ribosomal RNA (449 nucleotides) under uncultured bacterium. RNAcentral describes it as "bacterial SSU rRNA". It matches the Rfam family "Bacterial small subunit ribosomal RNA", at positions 355 to 796 of the family's 1533-position model. The record is from RNAcentral.
UGGGGAAUAUUGGACAAUGGGGGCAACCCUGAUCCAGCGAUGCCGCGUGGGUGAAGAAGGCCUUCGGGUUGUAAAGCCCUUUAGGUUGGGACGAAGGUUAUGCGGUUAAUACCCGUGUAAUUUGACGGUACCGACAGAAUAAGCACCGGCAAACUCUGUGCCAGCAGCCGCGGUAAUACAGAGGGUGCGAGCGUUAAUCGGAUUUACUGGGCGUAAAGGGCGCGUAGGCGGUAAGAUGUGUGUGAUGUGAAAGCCCCGGGCUUAACCUGGGAAGUGCAUUGCAAACUAUUUAACUAGAGUAUAUGAGAGGGUGGCGGAAUUUCCGGUGUAGCGGUGAAAUGCGUAGAGAUCGGAAGGAACGUCAAUGGCGAAGGCAGCCACCUGGCAUAAUACUGACGCUGAGGCGCGAAAGCGUGGGGAGCGAACAGGAUUAGAUACCCCGGUAGUCC